AGCAGCCGCGGUAAUUCCAGCUCCAAUAGCGUAUAUUAAAGUUGUUGCAGUUAAAAGCUCGUAGUUGAAUUUCGGGAUUAAUUUACUGGUCGUGCUAUUGUACGUACUGGUUUUUAUUGAUUCCUCCCUUCUGACGAACUAUGAUGUCAUUAAUUUGGUGUCAUAGGGAAUCAGGACUGUUACUUUGAAAAAUUAGAGUGUUUAAAGCAGGCUCACGCUUGAAUACAUUAGCAUGGAAUAACGGAAUAGGACGUUUGAUUCUAUUUUGUUGGUUUUCUAGGAUCGACGUAAUGAUUAAUAGGGAUAGUUGGGGGCAUUAGUAUUCAAUUGUCAGAGGUGAAAUUCUUGGAUUUAUUGAAUGACUAACUACUGCGAAAGCAUUUGCCAAGGAUGUUUUCAUUAAUCAAGAACGAAGUUAGGGGAUCGAAGACGAUCAGAUACCGUCGUAGUCUUAACCAUAAAACUAUGCCGACUA
RNAcentral lists this ribosomal RNA (475 nucleotides) under uncultured Glomus. RNAcentral describes it as "SSU rRNA". It matches the Rfam family "Eukaryotic small subunit ribosomal RNA", at positions 569 to 1048 of the family's 1831-position model. The record is from RNAcentral. Lineage: Eukaryota; Fungi; Glomeromycota; Glomeromycetes; Glomerales; Glomeraceae.